AGGGUCUAGCCUGCCUGCC
RNAcentral lists this microRNA (19 nucleotides) under Ciona intestinalis (vase tunicate). RNAcentral's name for it is "cin-miR-4008b-3p". Lineage: Eukaryota; Metazoa; Chordata; Ascidiacea; Phlebobranchia; Cionidae. The record is from miRBase by way of RNAcentral.